This 324-nucleotide ribosomal RNA is filed under the name uncultured eukaryote. RNAcentral's name for it is "partial 18S ribosomal RNA". It matches the Rfam family "Eukaryotic small subunit ribosomal RNA", at positions 1470 to 1796 of the family's 1831-position model. The record is from RNAcentral.
CCCCUAGAUGUUCUGGGCCGCACGCGCGCUACACUGAACAGUUCAACAAGUCUUAACCUUGGCCGAUAGGUCUGGGUAAUCUUUGAACGCUGUUCGUGAUUGGGAUAGACCUUUGCAAUUAUGGGUCUUCAACGAGGAAUUCCUAGUAAGCGCGAGUCAUCAGCUCGUGCUGAUUACGUCCCUGCCCUUUGUACACACCGCCCGUCGCUCCUACCGAUUGAGUGCUCAGGUGAAUAAUUCGGACUGCAGCAGUGUUUGGAUCCCGAACGCUGCAGCGGAAAGUUUAGUGAACCUUAUCACUUAGAGGAAGGAGAAGUCGUAACA